GCAAACUUGGUCAUUUAGAGGAAGUAAAAGUCGUAACAAGGUUUCCGUAGGUGAACCUGCGGAAGGAUCAUUACAGAGUUCAUGCCCUCACGGGUAGAUCUCCCACCCUUGUGUACCCCUAUCAUUGACGUUGCUUUGGCGGGCCGCCUCGGCUACCGGCUCACGCUGGUAAGUGCCCGCCAAAGGCCUAAACUCUGAACAUUAGUGUCGUCUGAGUCCUAUAUAAUCGCUAAAACUUUCAACAACGGAUCUCUUGGUUCUGGCAUCGAUGAAGAACGCAGC
RNAcentral lists this unclassified non-coding RNA (282 nucleotides) under uncultured fungus. RNAcentral describes it as "partial contains small subunit ribosomal RNA, internal transcribed spacer 1, and 5.8S ribosomal RNA". The stretch from base 1 to 73 matches the Rfam family "Eukaryotic small subunit ribosomal RNA", at positions 1759 to 1831 of the family's 1831-position model. Lineage: Eukaryota; Fungi. The record is from RNAcentral.